This 253-nucleotide ribosomal RNA is filed under the name uncultured bacterium. Its description in RNAcentral is "partial 16S ribosomal RNA". It matches the Rfam family "Bacterial small subunit ribosomal RNA", at positions 524 to 776 of the family's 1533-position model. The record is from RNAcentral.
UACGUAGAGGGCAAGCGUUGUCCGGAAUCAUUGGGCGUAAAGAGCGUGUAGGCGGUUCAGUAAGUCUGCUGUGAAAGUCCAGGGCUCAACCCUGGGAUGCCGGUGGAUACUGCUGGGCUAUAGUACGGAAGAGGCGAGUGGAAUUCCCGGUGUAGCGGUGAAAUGCGCAGAUAUCGGGAGGAACACCUAUUGCGAAGGCAGCUCGCUGGGACGUUACUGACGCUGAGACGCGAAAGCGUGGGGAGCAAACAGG